UACGGGGGGGGCAAGCGUUGUUCGGAAUUACUGGGCGUAAAGGGCUCGUAGGCGGCCAACUAAGUCGGAUGUGAAAUCCCCAGGCUUAACCUGGGAACUGCAUCCGAUACUGGUUGGCUUGAAUCCGGGAGAGGGAUGCAGAAUUCCAGGUGUAGCGGUGAAAUGCGUAGAUAUCUGGAGGAAUACCGGUGGCGAAGGCGGCAUCCUGGACCGGCAUUGACGCCGAGGCGCGAAAGCCAGGGGAGCAAACGGG
Molecule: ribosomal RNA, 253 nt
Filed under: uncultured bacterium
Lineage: Bacteria
Description: partial 16S ribosomal RNA
Rfam family: Bacterial small subunit ribosomal RNA
Source: RNAcentral